GAUGAACGCUGACAGAAUGCUUAACACAUGCAAGUCUUUGGCGAAGCUGUGCUUGCACAGCCUAGCCAAGGCGGACGGGUGAGUAACGCGUAAGGAACUUGCCCUGCAGUCAGGGAUAACAGACGGAAACGACUGAUAAGACCUGGUAAAGUCAGGCGGACUCAUGUCCAGCCUGAUGAAAAGAGAUGCUGCAGGAGAGCCUUGCGUCCUAUUAGCUUGUUGGUGGGGUAACGGCCCACCAAGGCGAUGAUAGGUAGCCGGCCUGAGAGGGUGGACGGCCAAAAGGGGACUGAGAUGCGGCCCUUACUCCUACGGGAGGCAGCAGUGGGGAAUAUUGGACAAUGGGGGCAACCCUGAUCCAGCAAUUCUGUGUGCACGAUGAAGGUUUUCGGAUUGUAAAGUGCUUUCAGCGGGGAAGAAAAAAAUGACGGUACCUGCAGAAGAAGCGACGGCUAAAUACGUG
RNAcentral lists this ribosomal RNA (463 nucleotides) under uncultured bacterium. Its description in RNAcentral is "partial 16S ribosomal RNA". It matches the Rfam family "Bacterial small subunit ribosomal RNA", at positions 28 to 507 of the family's 1533-position model. The record is from RNAcentral.